Molecule: ribosomal RNA, 625 nt
Filed under: uncultured Fusobacterium sp.
Lineage: Bacteria; Fusobacteriati; Fusobacteriota; Fusobacteriia; Fusobacteriales; Fusobacteriaceae
Description: bacterial SSU rRNA
Rfam family: Bacterial small subunit ribosomal RNA
Source: RNAcentral
UUAGGUUUGGGUGGCGGACGGGUGAGUAACGCGUAAAGAACUUGCCUCACAGCUAGGGACAACAUUUGGAAACGAAUGCUAAUACCUAAUAUUAUGAUAAUAGGGCAUCCUAUAAUUAUGAAAGCUAUAAGCGCUGUGAGAGAGCUUUGCGUCCCAUUAGCUAGUUGGAGAGGUAACGGCUCGCCAAGGCGAUGAUGGGUAGCCGGCCUGAGAGGGUGAUCGGCCACAAGGGGACUGAGACACGGCCCUUACUCCUACGGGAGGCAGCAGUGGGGAAUAUUGGACAAUGGACCAAGAGUCUGAUCCAGCAAUUCUGUGUGCACGAUGAAGUUUUUCGGAAUGUAAAGUGCUUUCAGUUGGGAAGAAAAAAAUGACGGUACCAACAGAAGAAGUGACGGCUAAAUACGUGCCAGCAGCCGCGGUAAUACGUAUGUCACGAGCGUUAUCCGGAUUUAUUGGGCGUAAAGCGCGUCUAGGUGGUUAUAUAAGUCUGAUGUGAAAAUGCAGGGCUCAACUCUGUAUUGCGUUGGAAACUGUAUAACUAGAGUACUGGAGAGGUAAGCGGAACUACAAGUGUAGAGGUGAAACUUCGUAGAUAUUUGUAGGAAUGCCGAUGGGGAAGCCA